UACGUCAUCUGUCAGACAUCUCCCUUGAUGAGGCUCCUGGCAGUCAUUGCCAAGUUAAUUGUACAAAAGCGGGGUGGUUGUUCCGUGAGUCCUGGGAAUCAACACUUGAGACUGAGGCUAAGAAGAAAGGACACAGCUGGUCUGGUUCCUCCCUGGCAUAGCUCCCAGAUCUGAAGGACAAAGUUCAAAUAGCUACAAUUCUGGGCAAAGUUGCAAUGUUUGUCAUUAAGAUUUAAAGGAGGUUGUCCCAAAAGAAGAAACUGAGGCAAGGACUGGUGCAGGUAGUUUAUCAGGAAGUGAUUUUAGGAGUUAGGAAUGAGGAAUGAGAAGAAGCUACUGUAAUCAACGAGGAUUCCAUGGGAACGUCUGAGAAUUGUCCGUCUGAAUGGCAUGGGGCUACGGCAUAUCAUCUAACCAUGGUUGUACAUGGGGCUCUUAAUGCCUCAUGUUUCCAAAAUGCAUUGCCUAGUGCACCAAGCCAGCCACUGUGACUUCAGAGAAGUCCCUAGGAAGAAAGCAGAAAGACACAUGGACAUGGCUUGAGGUGGGCAGGUUGCCAACAGACUGAUUCUGAGCCCCCCAAGGACUGCCCACCAACUCUGCAAUUAAAAUCAGAGGUGGGUCAAGAGGCUCAAAAUCAUUCACUACAUAGGCUACUAAAUUGAUUGGGUAGCAGAUAAUUACAAAUAAUUUUGUAGUUAAUAAUCAACAUGUGGUAGUGAUAAGAACCAGACUGCUUGAAUUCAAAUCCUGGCCUCCACCAACUGCAUGACUUCAUAUAUGCCUCCAUUACCUCAUAUUUAAAGUAGAAAUAAUAAUAGAAUUUUCUUCAUCAUGCCGUUGUGAAGAUGAAAUGAAUUAAUUUGCUUACUAGAGAGCCUAGCAAAGAGGGAACACUAAAAUAUUUUCGUUAUUAUGAUAUUUCAUGCUUUGGUCCACAGGGAAUUUGUUCUC
Molecule: long non-coding RNA, 954 nt
Filed under: Equus caballus (horse)
Lineage: Eukaryota; Metazoa; Chordata; Mammalia; Perissodactyla; Equidae
Description: lncRNA (ENSECAG00000048515.1)
Source: RNAcentral